This 324-nucleotide ribosomal RNA is filed under the name uncultured bacterium. Its description in RNAcentral is "bacterial SSU rRNA". It matches the Rfam family "Bacterial small subunit ribosomal RNA", at positions 30 to 356 of the family's 1533-position model. The record is from RNAcentral.
AUUGAACGCUGGCGGCAUGCCUUACACAUGCAAGUCGAACGGUAACGCGGGGCAACCUGGCGACGAGUGGCGAACGGGUGAGUAAUGCAUCGGAACGUGCCCAGUAGUGGGGGGAUAGCCCGGCGAAAGCCGGAUUAAUACCGCAUACGACCUACGGGUGAAAGCGGGGGACCGUAAGGCCUCGCGCUAUUGGAGCGGCCGAUGUCAGAUUAGGUAGUUGGUGGGGUAAAAGCCUACCAAGCCAACGAUCUGUAGCUGGUCUGAGAGGACGACCAGCCACACUGGGACUGAGACACGGCCCAGACUCCUACGGAGGCAGCAGUU